RNAcentral lists this long non-coding RNA (283 nucleotides) under Sorghum bicolor (sorghum). Its description in RNAcentral is "long non-coding RNA (SBIC_LNC003869)". The record is from RNAcentral. Lineage: Eukaryota; Viridiplantae; Streptophyta; Magnoliopsida; Poales; Poaceae.
GGUCUAGCUAAUCGUCUACGCAUAGGUUAGGAAUUGCUAUGGAGUUGUUGAUAAGAUGCUUUUGUCCGGAGGACACAAAAUUUUGCCCUGUUUAGUUUCCCACUCAAAUUUUUUUCAUCCUUCCUAUCGAAUCUUUAGACACAUACAUAGAACAUUAAAUAUACAUAAAAAAUAAACUAAUUACACAGUUUGAUUAAAAAUCGCGAGACGAAUCUUUUAAGCCUAGUUACUCCAUGAUUAGCCUUAAGUGCUACAGUAACUUAUAUUCAUAUAUGCUAAUGAC